Molecule: ribosomal RNA, 253 nt
Filed under: uncultured bacterium
Lineage: Bacteria
Description: partial 16S ribosomal RNA
Rfam family: Bacterial small subunit ribosomal RNA
Source: RNAcentral
UACGAGAGGUCCAAGCGUUAGUCGGAAUCACUGGGCUUAAAGGGUGCGUAGGCGGCUCGGAAAGCGUCUUGUGAAAGCCCUCCGCUCAACGGAGGAACCGCAGGGCGAACUGCCGAGCUUGAGGAAUCUAGAGGCCGGUGGAACGAUAGGUGGAGCGGUGGAAUGCGUAGAUAUCUAUCGGAACGCCAAAGGUGAAGACAGCCGGCUGGGGAUUUCCUGACGCUGAGGCACGAAAGCGUGGGGAUCAAACAGG